UGCGUAGGUCCCGAGCGUUGUCCGGAUUUAUUGGGCGUAAAGCGAGCGCAGGUGGUUUAUUAAGUCUGGUGUAAAAGGCAGUGGCUCAACCAUUGUAUGCAUUGGAAACUGGUAGACUUGAGUGCAGGAGAGGAGAGUGGAAUUCCAUGUGUAGCGGUGAAAUGCGUAGAUAUAUGGAGGAACACCGGUGGCGAAAGCGACUCUCUGGCCUGUAACUGACACUGAGGCUCGAAAGCGUGGGGAGCAAACAGG
RNAcentral lists this ribosomal RNA (252 nucleotides) under uncultured bacterium. RNAcentral's name for it is "partial 16S ribosomal RNA". It matches the Rfam family "Bacterial small subunit ribosomal RNA", at positions 524 to 776 of the family's 1533-position model. The record is from RNAcentral.